This 756-nucleotide non-coding RNA is filed under the name Pan troglodytes (chimpanzee). The record is from RNAcentral. Lineage: Eukaryota; Metazoa; Chordata; Mammalia; Primates; Hominidae.
CCAGCUGUAUCUUCUUUUACCGAUGAGGACACUGACAGAGACAGGGUCUCACUCUGUCACCCAGGUUGGAGUACAGUGGCACGAUCAUAGCUUAACGUAAACUGGAACUUCUGGGCUUAAGCGAUGCUCUCGCUUCAGCCUCCCAAGUACCUGGGACCACAGCUGGGAAAAAGCAAAUCCUUGAGGAAGCUCACCUUCUCCACACUGCUCAUCGCCUGGAAAUAGAUGUUGUAUCCUUUGCGCGGAGCCAAAGGAGGGUUCCAAAAGCCUUGUCCUUCAAUCCACAUUUCAAUUAACUUCCUUGUUCUCCCAAUACCUCAUAUUGAGUGAUGAUUCCAUUUGGAUCCAAAGGUUCUUUCCAGUUCAAGAAGAUCUUAUUUUCAAAGGAUGUUCCUUGAAGAGAUUUUACUGUGAACUUCACACAUGACAUUAUCCAGAAAUGUAGUUUCAAAGUAUAUAGCAAUUUUGUGAGGAUUGAAAUAAAUUAAAAAUCACUGGAUCAAGGGAAAUACAUUGCAUUGUGGCUAGGAGCAUCAAGAAAUUCUGAAUGAUAUGUCACGAGAGCAGGAUUUAUUUCAAUCUACAAGGAGACUAUGAAUGAUACUAUGACCUCUGAGACAGGCAACAUAAUUUGAUACAUUGAGGAAAGAAACCCACAAUAAACAGAAAAUAUGCCAGCACUAAACUUUAGAAGAUAUGUUCAAGCCAUUGUCAGCCGAAAACUAUGAGAGAAGUUAACUGAAUGCAUCCACUCCC